GAGGAAAAGAAAUCAACCGAGAUUCCGAAAGUAGCGGCGAGCGAAAUUGGACUAGCCCUUAAGCUUUACACGCGUUAGACGAACGGUCUGGAAAGUCCGACGAUACAGGGUGAUAGUCCCGUAGUUGACGACGUGUGUUCAGUGAAAUCGAGUAGGGCGGGACACGUGAUAUCCUGUCUGAAUAUGGGGGGACCAUCCUCCAAGGCUAAAUACUACUGACUGACCGAUAGUGAACCAGUACCGUGAGGGAAAGGCGAAAAGAACCCCUGUGAGGGGAGUGAAAUAGAACCUGAAACCGUGUACGUACAAGCAGUAGGAGCAGGCUUUGUCCUGUGACUGCGUACCUUUUGUAUAAUGGGUCAGCGACUUAUAUUCAGUGGCAAGGUUAACCAUCUAGGGGAGCCGUAGGGAAACCGAGUCUUAACUGGGCGUUCAGUCUCUGGAUAUAGACCCGAAACCAGGUGAUCUAGCCAUGGGCAGGUUGAAGGUUGAGUAACAUCAACUGGAGGACCGAACCGACUAAUGUUGAAAAAUUAGCGGAUGACUUGUGGCUAGGGGUGAAAGGCCAAUCAAACCUGGAGAUAGCUGGUUCUCCCCGAAAGCUAUUUAGGUAGCGCCUCGGACGAAUACUACUGGGGGUAGAGCACUGUUAAGGCUAGGGGGUCAUCCCGACUUACCAACCCUUUGCAAACUCCGAAUACCAGUAAGUACUAUCCGGGAGACACACGGCGGGUGCUAACGUCCGUCGUGGAGAGGGAAACAACCCAGACCGCCAGCUAAGGUCCCAAAUUACUACUAAGUGGGAAACGAUGUGGGAAGGCUCAGACAGCCAGGAUGUUGGCUUAGAAGCAGCCAUCAUUUAAAGAAAGCGUAAUAGCUCACUGGUCGAGUCGGCCUGCGCGGAAGAUGUAACGGGGCUAAGUAGUAAACCGAAGCUGCGGCAAUGUGCUUUUGCACAUUGGGUAGGGGAGCGUUCUGUAAGCGGUUGAAGGUGUGUGGUAACGCAUGCUGGACGUAUCAGAAGUGCGAAUGCUGACAUGAGUAACGAUAAAGGGGGUGAAAAACCUCCUCGCCGGAAGACCAAGGGUUCCUGUCCAACGUUAAUCGGGGCAGGGUAAGUCGACCCCUAAGGCGAGGCCGAAAGGCGUAGUCGAUGGGAAACGGGUUAAUAUUCCCGUACUUCUUACAAUUGCGAUGGGGGGACGGAGAAGGCUAGGUGGGCCUGGCGACGGUUGUCCAGGUUCAAGUGCGUAGGCUUAAGAGUUAGGUAAAUCCGGCUCUUUUUAAGGCUGAGACACGACGUCGAGCACCUACGGGUGUGAAGUCAUUGAUGCCAUGCUUCCAGGAAAAGCCUCUAAGCUUCAGAUUGUAAGGAAUCGUACCCCAAACCGACACAGGUGGUCGGGUAGAGAAUACCAAGGCGCUUGAGAGAACUCGGGUGAAGGAACUAGGCAAAAUGGUACCGUAACUUCGGGAGAAGGUACGCUCUCGACGGUGAAGUCCCUCGCGGAUGGAGCUAUUGAGAGUCGCAGAUACCAGGUGGCUGCAACUGUUUAUUAAAAACACAGCACUGUGCAAAAUCGUAAGAUGACGUAUACGGUGUGACGCCUGCCCGGUGCCGGAAGGUUAAUUGAUGGGGUUAGACUUCGGUCGAAGCUCUUGAUCGAAGCCCCGGUAAACGGCGGCCGUAACUAUAACGGUCCUAAGGUAGCGAAAUUCCUUGUCGGGUAAGUUCCGACCUGCACGAAUGGCGUAAUGAUGGCCACGCUGUCUCCACCCGAGACUCAGUGAAAUUGAAAUCGCUGUGAAGAUGCAGUGUACCCGCGGCUAGACGGAAAGACCCCGUGAACCUUUACUACAGCUUGGCACUGAACAUUGACCCUACAUGUGUAGGAUAGGUGGGAGGCUUUGAAGCACGUACGCCAGUAUGUGUGGAGCCGUCCUUGAAAUACCACCCUUGUAGUGUUGAUGUUCUAACGUCGACCCCUAAUCGGGGUUGCGGACAGUGCCUGGUGGGUAGUUUGACUGGGGCGGUCUCCUCCCAAAGAGUAACGGAGGAGCACGAAGGUGGGCUAAUCACGGUUGGACAUCGUGAGGUUAGUGCAAUGGCAUAAGCCCGCUUGACUGCGAGAAUGACAAUUCGAGCAGGUGCGAAAGCAGGUCAUAGUGAUCCGGUGGUUCUGAAUGGAAGGGCCAUCGCUCAACGGAUAAAAGGUACUCCGGGGAUAACAGGCUGAUACCGCCCAAGAGUUCAUAUCGACGGCGGUGUUUGGCACCUCGAUGUCGGCUCAUCACAUCCUGGGGCUGAAGUCGGUCCCAAGGGUAUGGCUGUUCGCCAUUUAAAGUGGUACGCGAGCUGGGUUUAGAACGUCGUGAGACAGUUCGGUCCCUAUCUGCCGUGGGCGUUGGAAGAUUGAAGGGGGCUGCUCCUAGUACGAGAGGACCGGAGUGGACGAACCUCUGGUGUUCGGGUUGUGUCGCCAGACGCAUUGCCCGGUAGCUAAGUUCGGAAUCGAUAACCGCUGAAAGCAUCUAAGCGGGAAGCGAGCCCUGAGAUGAGUCUUCCCUGAUACUUUAAGUAUCCUAAAGGGUUGUCGGAGACUACGACGUUGAUAGGUCAGGUGUGUAAGUGCUGUGAGGCAUUGAGCUAACUGAUACUAAUUGCCCGUGAGGCUUAACCAUACAACACCCAAGGGGUUU
This 2700-nucleotide ribosomal RNA is filed under the name Vibrio parahaemolyticus. Its description in RNAcentral is "partial 23S ribosomal RNA". It matches the Rfam family "Bacterial large subunit ribosomal RNA". Lineage: Bacteria; Pseudomonadati; Pseudomonadota; Gammaproteobacteria; Vibrionales; Vibrionaceae. The record is from RNAcentral.